CACGUAGGGGGCAAGCGUUGUCCGGAUUUAUUGGGCGUAAAGAGCGUGUAGGCGGCCUGGUAGGUCAGCUGUGAAAACUCGAGGCUCAACCCUGGAAGGCCGGUGGAAACUGUCGGGCUAGAGUCCGGAAGAGGCGAGUGGAAUUCCCGGUGUAGCGGUGAAAUGCGCAGAUAUCGGGAGGAACACCAAUGGCGAAGGCAGCUCGCUGGGACGGUACUGACGCUGAGACGCGAAAGCGUGGGGAGCAAACAGG
Molecule: ribosomal RNA, 253 nt
Filed under: uncultured bacterium
Lineage: Bacteria
Description: partial 16S ribosomal RNA
Rfam family: Bacterial small subunit ribosomal RNA
Source: RNAcentral